GACUGGCGCGCUAGAGUAUGGCAGAGGGGGGUAGAAUUCCACGUGUAGCAGUGAAAUGCGUAGAGAUGUGGAGGAAUACCGAUGGCGAAGGCAGCCCCCUGGGCCAAUACUGACGCUCAUGCACGAAAGCGUGGGGAGCAAACAGGAUUAGAUACCCUGGUAGUCCACGCCCUAAACGAUGUCAACUAGUUGUUG
RNAcentral lists this ribosomal RNA (195 nucleotides) under uncultured Burkholderia sp. Its description in RNAcentral is "partial 16S ribosomal RNA". It matches the Rfam family "Bacterial small subunit ribosomal RNA", at positions 631 to 825 of the family's 1533-position model. Lineage: Bacteria; Pseudomonadati; Pseudomonadota; Betaproteobacteria; Burkholderiales; Burkholderiaceae. The record is from RNAcentral.